Molecule: long non-coding RNA, 2767 nt
Filed under: Betta splendens (Siamese fighting fish)
Lineage: Eukaryota; Metazoa; Chordata; Actinopteri; Anabantiformes; Osphronemidae
Description: lncRNA (ENSBSLG00000000205.1)
Source: RNAcentral
CCCGGGGGAGAUGUGGAGCGCUCAACUAAAGAAAAGAGAGUGGGAUGACAGUAGUGAGCAUACGGGUAUUUUUGUGUAUGUUAACUCUGACCUACACGGGACAGGCUACGACUGCAGGUUAGAUUAUGUUAGGAAUGUAAAUUCCAGUAAUUAUGUUCUCUUUCCCAGGGGAGUAGGAAGGUGCGCCAUUGGAGUAAAGGAAAGUGAGCGGAAUGGAAGCAAGUUCUGGGAUGUUAAAGUAGCAUUCUGGCCACCUCAAUGCCGUUUGGACCAGGACGUGAGAGUAACAUGGAUAAAGAAGGUGACCUCAGGGGCAUCCGACUGGGCCGAUAGGAUGAUGACCGGAAUGCGAGAAACAUGGUGGGGACCUGAGGACGAGGGUGAGCCUGGGAAAAAGGAAGAGACGUUAGAUGGGCGAUUCCAGAAUAGUUGGUACAGGUGGGUUCAAUUCGCGGGUCAACUUAACGGGAAGACUGAUUGCUACAUCUGUACUAAGGCGCGGCCGGACCGGUUUUAUGUGAUAAACACUGUUUUCAGUUGGCAGGAAUGCAAACAGGCCUUGCGUACUAACACACAAAAUCCUAGACCUUGGUGUAGAGCCGAAUGCUUAUUGUAUUUAGGAUCACCCUCUUUUCAGUCAUCAGUUGAUUUUUUCAUCUACGGGAAAACGAACGCUCAGCGUUGCGAAGAUUUCAAUGUGAAAAUAGGACAACACAGCGCGAUGAUGGGGAUGCAGAGUAAUGCCCCUUUAAUCCCGGUUGGUAAGUUUUAGUGUAUUGAAAAAAUGGGGUUUGUGCCUUUGGGUAAGAUUAAGCGUAGCCUCUGUAGUCAUAGGUGGGAGUUGAACACUGCUAAUUGUACAAAAUCACAUCUUAAACCCACUGCUCUUGUUUCAGGCAAACUGGGAUCUGUUCUGAUCUGAUCUUUAGUUGCAGGUUGUCCCUAUUUUGACCAGACAAUCGCGUUGGCAGAUCACUUCUGGUGGUGUGGAGGCCAACAGCUUUAUUCAACUUUACCUAUAAGAUGGGCAGGUAGGUGUGUCCGGGUGCAAGUUGCACAAGAGCUGAUUGCGUUUAGGGAGCAGGAUAAGGAUGUCAACAGCAGAAGCAAGCGGAGCUACCAACCAGAUCCCAGAGUUUACCUGGAUUCCAUUGGCCAACACCGAGGAAUUCCAAACGAGUUUAAGGCAAGGAAUGAGGUUGCAUCAGGGUUUGAGUCUAUAUUACCUUGGAUAACGACGAAUCGCAAUACCGAGGGGCUGAACUUCAUUUUUUUUAAUCAGCAGCGCUUUAUUAAUUACACUGACGACGCGUUGGGGGCAUUGGGAAAGCAGGUGAGUGCCACAAGUGCGGUGGCGUGGCAGAACAGGCAGGCGUUAGACUGGAUCUUAGCAGAAAAAGGAGGAGUGUGUGCGCUUGUGGGAGAAGUGUGCUGUACUUAUAUUCCAGGACACACGGCCCCGGAUGGGGCCUUCACAGAGGCUAUGAAGAGGCUGAGGUCGCUCAGGAUGGAGGUAAAAGAGGCGGCUGGCAGCGAUGCGAACUUGAGCUGGACAAACUGGCUGGAGAGUGUGGCCGGAGGAUGGAGACAAGGGCUGAUCAAACUGGGGGUAAUGAUUACUGUAGGAGUAGUAGCUUUGGGACUGAUUUUUUGUUGUUGUAUUCCUUUCUUGAGAUCAGUAGCGCUUAGAGCCGUGACCAAGCAGAAUUUGCAGAUGGCAGUUAUUGAGCUGGGAGAGAAGUAUGGGUGGAAGAGUGUAGGAAACGAGGAAGGUGACGUGUUUCCAGUUCCGGAAUGGAUCCACAUCACGACUCUAGACGAGGACAAGGAUGAAGACUCCCAGUUGGUGUGAUGUUGAAAAUGGCCUACGAUAUGUCAUGAAGGAAGAAAAAAAAAAGACUCAUUUUCAUACUGAAAAUGAGCUAAGAUGGUUGUUUAAUGAAUUUUAAUACUGAUGUUUUAUUAGUUGUAAUAGUCAGAUUUAUUAAUAGUAGUGUUAGAAAUGUAUCAUAUCCUUGUGUUAGCAGUAGUAUUAGAAAUGACACAUUAGUAACCAACUUAUAUAGGUCUCAUGAUCCCUUGUAUUGUUUCAUUGUGUUUAAUUGACCUGCUAUGAGGGUCUAAGUGUGUGAACUUGUCAGUAAUUUGUUUUGUGUUCUUUUUUUAGAGGCUGUUACUGAAUUCACCUGUGAAACGUUCUGAGGUCAUCAAGCUGGCUGCCCUAAAAAGUCCUGUAUGAGCAGUAUGAUGAAUUUGGCCUUUUUAAGUGAAGUGCCCACAUUGCUAAGGUUAAACAAAACGUAAAAUGGGGUUGGGACCUUGCUAGUGCUUAUCACUGGUUUAUGGUAGUUAAAGUAAAUUGGGCUUAGUUUAAUGGACAUUAUCUGUCCAUUGAGGGGGAAUUUCUGUAGUAUAUUCUGUUCCUCUUAUGGGGUUAUUUCUGUCCACUGCAACGAGGGUCAAGUUGACCGAGGUGUCAGAUUGGCCACUAAAACAAAUACGCUGCUGCAGCUGUGUAAACAUGGACUUUCGAUUGACACGUAGGCACUUGCUGGUUGCAUAAACAACAAAUCUUUAAAAAGUGGGCAUUGGGAGAUGUUUAUUAGAGUGCCUCGUAGAGGGUCUGCUGCAGACACCCACCUUUUUCGACCUCUCAGUUUGUUCUGCAGACGAACCUCCAGGUGAAUUCGGCCACCACCUCUCUCAUGAAAAUUCUGUAAUUGUACUAUUUCAUUAUGUGUAAUAAAUUCAUUUGUUAAUUUGAGCA